GAUGAACGCUGACAGUAUGCCUAACACAUGCAAGUCUUACGCCAACCCGUUAUUGGCUUGCCCUUCCAAGUCGCACGUGUCGGACACGUGAGAGGUACUUCGCCUUCUACUUGUUCGUGCAGACUAACGUAGCUGAACUUACCCUACUACCUCAUGCGGCCUCCUGUUGAACGCAAUGGAUCUUCAUACCUCACGCGAUUCAUUCGGCCGAUGUCGUAUUAGGUAGUUGGCGGGGUCACGGCCCACCUGGUCGACGAUCCGUAGCUGGUCUGAGAGGAUGAUGAGCGACACUGGAACUGAGACAAGGGCCAGACUCCGACGGGAGGCAGCAGCGGGGAACAUUGGACGAUGGGCGCAAGCAUGAUCGAGCCAUAGCGCGUGGGUGAAGAAGGCAUUCGGGUUGUAAAGCUCUUUUGUUGGGAAAGAAAAGCAGCAGGCUAAAACGCAGAUGUUAUGACGGUACCUAAAGAAUAAGCAACGGCUAACUUCGUG
RNAcentral lists this ribosomal RNA (492 nucleotides) under uncultured bacterium. Its description in RNAcentral is "partial 16S ribosomal RNA". It matches the Rfam family "Bacterial small subunit ribosomal RNA", at positions 28 to 507 of the family's 1533-position model. The record is from RNAcentral.